UACGGAGGAUGCGAGCGUUAUCCGGAUUUAUCGGGUUUAAAGGGUGCGUAGGCGGAUCGUUAAGUCAGUGGUCAAAUUGAGGGGCUCAACCCCUUCCCGCCAUUGAAACUGGCGAUCUUGAGUGGAAGAGAAGUAUGCGGAAUGCGUGGUGUAGCGGUGAAAUGCAUAGAUAUCACGCAGAACCCCGAUUGCGAAGGCAGCAUGCCGGCUUCCGACUGACGCUGAAGCACGAAAGCGUGGGGAUCGAACAGG
Molecule: ribosomal RNA, 252 nt
Filed under: uncultured bacterium
Lineage: Bacteria
Description: partial 16S ribosomal RNA
Rfam family: Bacterial small subunit ribosomal RNA
Source: RNAcentral